This 253-nucleotide ribosomal RNA is filed under the name uncultured bacterium. RNAcentral describes it as "partial 16S ribosomal RNA". It matches the Rfam family "Bacterial small subunit ribosomal RNA", at positions 524 to 776 of the family's 1533-position model. The record is from RNAcentral.
UACGGAAGGGGCAAGCGUUGUUCGGAAUCAUUGGGCGUAAAGGGCGCGUAGGUGGUUCUGUAUGUCUAGCGUGAAAGCAUACAGCUCAACUGUAUUUUGUCGGUAGAAACUGCAGGACUUGAGGCUGGGAGGGGCUGGUGGAAUUCCCUGUGUAGCGGUGAAAUGCGUAGAGAUGGGGGAGAACACUCGUGGCGAAGGCGGCCAGCUAGACCAGUUCUGACACUGAGGCGCGACAGCGUGGGGAGCAAACAGG